RNAcentral lists this long non-coding RNA (600 nucleotides) under Olea europaea subsp. europaea. The record is from RNAcentral. Lineage: Eukaryota; Viridiplantae; Streptophyta; Magnoliopsida; Lamiales; Oleaceae.
CUCGGCUCGGGGCUCGGUAGACCCGAGCCUAAGCUCGGGCCGAGCCCUAUUUUAGGGACACGGGCUUUGCUCGAACCGGCCCGUGAGCUCGCGAGCUUUUAGAAAAAAAAAAAAAAAAAUUUGAAGGCAAAACUGCUGCCUUUUAAAGGCAGCAGUUCGCUGCCUUAUAUUUAAGGCAGCUGAAUUUAAAAAAAAAAAAAUAAAUAAAUUUUGAAGGCAAAACUGCUGCCUUUUAAAGGCAGCAGUUCGCUGCCUUAAAGGUAGCAUGCUGCUGCCUUAUACUUAAGGCAGCAGCUUGCUGCCUUUAAAAGGCAGCAAAACUGCUGCCUUAAAAAGGCAGCCGAAUUAAAAAAAAAAAAAAAAAAAAAAAAAAAGGGGGAGAAAACGAGCCUGCCCAGCUCGGCCCGUAAAAAGCCCAAGCUUUUCUUUAAAAAGCCCGAGCAAAAGCUCGGGCCGAGCCUAUUUUUUUUGGCCGAGCUUUUGCUCGGGCCGGCUCGAGCCCGCAAAAAAGCUCGGUCAUUUUAACCGGGCCGAGCCCGAGCAGAAAUUUUUGGCUCGCGAGCCGGCUCGGCCCGGCUCGUUUACAUCCCUAUCUAGCCC